Molecule: long non-coding RNA, 5705 nt
Filed under: Equus caballus (horse)
Lineage: Eukaryota; Metazoa; Chordata; Mammalia; Perissodactyla; Equidae
Description: lncRNA (ENSECAG00000045067.1)
Source: RNAcentral
CUGAGAUCUAUGGUGUGCUGGACAUCCUGCUGGGUACCAAGGGAGGGCUACCACGUAGGUGAACCUGCUUCUGCCCGUGAUGAGGUCGUGGUCUGGUUCUGGUGAUAUGGUUUAAAUGCAUGAAAAGUUAAGUAAUGGUUCAAAUCCACAGUGAAGGGAAAAUCCUAGGCCAGAUCUGUGGCUAAAUGAGUGAUGGAAUCCAUGCGGACUAAGAAAUACUUAAGUCUCUGGAAUUUGCCCUGUGUUUUGUUUUUGCCCUACCUCCCACCCCAAAUCUGAGGCUAUGUCCAGUUCUUUGCUGAGUUGGGAAUAAUUUUCCUCUGUAUAACUCAAUGAAAUCAUAGCCUGUUAUGGGAAGCCUUUCUCAGCCACGACCACCCCCUUGUCUGAUUAGGUGCCCUCUUCUGGGCUCUCACAGCUCCUGUCAUAAACCAUCGUUGUAUUUAUCUUACCAUUUACUUGUCUCUUUCAGUCAGCUGGAAUGAAGUGUUCAACUUGCAAUUUAUAGGGAAGCAAGACUGGAGAGGGAAUUUAGGGAGAAUUAGCUGGUAUAUUCCAGGCCUGUGCUACUCAGCAUGUGGUCCAUGGACCAGCAGUGUUAGCAUCUCCUGGCAGUGAAUUAAAAAUGCAAAAUCUCGUGCUCCAUCUCAGAACUACAGACUCAGCAUCUGAAUUUUAACAGAUCCCAGGUGAUUCAUAUGCACAUCAAAGCUUGAGAAGAACUCGGCUAGUCUAGAGUACUGCUUCUCAAACUUGGCUGCCCAUUGGAAUCGCCUGGGGUUUUGAUAAAGUACUGAUGCUUGGGUCCCACUCACAGAGGUCCUGAUUUAAUUGGUUGGGAUGUGGCCAAUUAAAAGCUCUCCAGGUAAUGCUAAUAUGCAGCCACAUAUGUGAGUCACCUCUGGGUUAGUGUUUCCCAGCUGCUAUCCCCUGUCAUUGCACUUACCACACUGUAUUGUCAUUUUCAUUUAGGUGCUUGUCUUCCCUACCCAUUAAGGGUGGGGACUCUCUUAUACAUCCUGAGACUCUAAUAUAGUAUCUCUCAAUGAAUAAUUGUUUCCUAAAGUGAAUGGAAAUGAAGCUGAGUGGAGGCCUUUAGUGCUGAAUUUGUGGACAACCUUAGAGCAAAAUUAUUGGAAUUACUCUCCAUAGCUUGGGUGAAGAAUUGAGGCAUGCCUAUUAACAUCGAUGGCAAAAAAGGGGUUCAGAUGCUCUCAUUUAGCCAAAGUAAAAGUCUAUAGGAUAUGUCAAAUUGCUGGUGCCCAGAUUUCCUGGGAAUAGGAUGGGGUGAGAAGAUUCACCAUGAUAUCUUUUAAUAGGAAGAGAGGAGACUUAUAGGUUUAGUUCACGUCAAGCCCUGGAUGGUGCAACAGUGAUAUUUAUCUGGCCACUAAGAAAAUUACAAUAGGACUUUCAAAUGCAUUAAUGGAAGUGCAGUAUCCACUCCUACGAGGUAUUGGACUGCUCUGUCUCCUUUGGGUACCACACUUUGAAGAAGUAGUGAGCAUUGUGGAUAAUAUAGAAAUCAUAUCAUGGGAGGGAGUGUAUGGGAAUGGAUGUCUAGAGACGAGAGGAUGUGGUGAGGACAUGAUUGCUUUUUUCAAAAGGACUGACUGGUGUGUGAGAAGAGAGCAGAAUUGUGCUGUGCUGCUCCACAGGACAUAGCUAGGGCCAAUGGAAUUCAUGGAAGCAGAUUUUGGCUCCACGUAGGAAAGACUUUGUGCCAGUGAGAGCUGUCCAAUAAUAGAACCGGCUGCCUGGGGAGAUGGUGCGAGCGAGCGAGCUCUCUAUCUUUGGAAAUGUUCUAGCAGAGCCUGGAUGGCCAUCUGUCGUGGGUAUUGUGGAAAGAUUCAUGCAUUCAGUGGAUGAACAAAAUUUUGUUGAUGAUAAUGGUAGUAAAUGUGGCUAUGUAUACUGAGUGCCUAGGGAGUGCCAGAUACUGUGCUAGGCAAGUGUGCAUAGAUUAUCAUCUUUAAUCCUUCUACAGCCCUAAUGAAAGUGACAGUUAUUACUUCCAUUUUAUAGAAGAAAUAGGCUCAGAGGUAGGAUUUGAACCCUGGGCUUUCUGACUUCAAAACCCAUAAUCUUUUAACUAUAUCGCCUGCCUUUUACUGUCCCUUCCAUUUCUAAGAUGCUAUGAUUUCAAGCGUAUUUAGACACUGGGUUUGAACUCACCUUUCGGCAUCUAUUUGGAGAAGGUCCUCUGGAGAGCUGGGCACGAAGGCUUGGGAGUUCAGAGGAUAGUCAGGAUGGCAGAUGCAGACUUGAGCAUGCUCUGCCAAGAGGUGAGGGUUGCUGCCAUUGGGUUGAUAAGAUUCACAAGGUAGUGACUGCAGAGAGAAGAGGUCCGUGUGGGCCGACACCUUCACGUGGGCUGUUGGAAACUCAAGGCAUGGCAAUAGCUGUGAGUUCUGCUUUCUAAGUGGGAAGGAGUAGACUGUUACUGCAUGUUAGAAGCUUGGUUUCUAACCUCAGUAAAAUGUGACUGCUUCUAUAAAUUUUCGGGUUCUACGUUGAGACAAUGCAAGUCAAAUGCCGAAAUUGGAGUCAGUAGAAUAUAGUGGCUCAAGGUAAAGCCUCUGCCUGGGUUGAUAUCUGGACACUGCUACUCCCUAGCUAUGUGUCCUUCCACAAAUUACCUUCAUUUGCCUCAAUUUCAUCAUCUGUAAAAUGGGGAUGAUAACACUACCUACCCUAUAGGUUUAUCAUGGAGCUUAAGUGACGUAUGCACAUAAAGCGCUGGGACAGAGGCUGACACAUGGUGAGCACUUGGUGUUUAUAUUCAGAUUGGUUAUUACAUCUAAGUAAGCCCUAAAGUAUCACCAAUGGAAUAGUUCACUUAGGAGCCUCAGCUAUGUAUCUACCUUAUUUCGAUUGAGCCACACUAUAAAAAUUCAGCUUACGUUGUUCUAAAUUAAAACGCGCAACUUCGUUAAUCAAACAUUUUAGCUUAAUAUUUCAAUCCAUUUUGUUGCAGUUUCCAAAUUGUAUUAACCUACUUCCUCCCUGUAAUACGUAGUUUACCAUACAGCAUUGAGGCCACAUAAAGUAGAGGUUAAAAGGAAGACUGGGUCAGACUGCCUGGGUUUAAAUUUUAACUUCAUUAUUUACUAGCCCUGUGACCUGGGGAAAUUUACUUAGUCACUCUAAGCUUCAGUUUCUUUCAUAUAAAGUGGAGAUAAUAGUAAUACCUACCACGUAGGGUUUGGAGAACAAAUGAGAUUACAUGUAUAGAGUGCUUGGAACAGUUCCUAGGCAUCUUCAACAUAGUCAGCAUUCGACCGAGGACGAUGAUGGUACACAUACAUUCUAAGGCAAAGGAACUUAAAAUGCCUUGGGGUCCUUAUUGUACGCAUCAGUGUUGAUUGUUUAAUCCCACUGUGUGUGUACAUAAUCUAUAGACAGGCUUCUCUGUGAGCAAGGGAUUAAUGGAUAGAGAGAGGAUGGUCAUGGGUCAGCCUGAAGGGUCCCUGGGAUGCUCUUGAAAUUGUAGGCAAGACUUGGGAGUAUGCAUGUUUGUAUAGAGAAGUUAAUCACUCUGUGACCUUAUAAAGUUUAAGAAGUGUUAGCAUAAGAAUCUUGAAGUGGAACAUGAGACUGUUAGUAAGGGAAAACUGAAAACCUGGCUAACGGGGACUUCAGGAAUAAAGUCAUUUUGUUAUCUCAUAAUAACGAAGAGUCAGAGGUGGGUGGUCCCAAGAUCAGUGCAGUAGUUCAAAGAUGUUAUCAGGGGCUCAAGUUUUCUUUCUGCUCCCUGUCAUCCUUAGAUUAAUUGCUUCAUGGUCCCAGGAUAGCUGCCAUAGAAACAAGAACCGCAUCCUCAUGUAACUUCGCUGAAAACAGAAAGAAGGCAGGGAAGCCAGGGUGGUGUGAUAGAGCUUUCGUUUUUCGUCUCCUUUCUCCUAUCAGAGCUGCUGAUUCUGACCCAGAUCUGCCCUCCCCGAAGCCUCAGCUGCUGACACUAGCUCUGAGGAGCUGGACCGUGAGCUCUGCCAGGAUGAAGAUGCUCAUCUCCACAGCUCUCCCCACACUCUAAACAAGCAGUUCCCGGGGAGGAGAACAACGCACACAGUAGUAACAAGUCUAGUAAUUAGCAGUAGCCCUGGGGCCUUGCAACACUUCUAAAAGGACAAGGUGAUUCAGGAAGAUGUGUCACUGCCCCUGCGAGUUUCCCAGAUGGAGAGACAGGCGGGGAUCUCCAGUGCUAAUGACGCGGAGGCCUCUAACCUGCAGUUGUUAGAGCGCGUGGGUGAGGAGAUUUGGGACAAAAGCAAAACAGCUGGACAUGGAGUCUGCAUGUCUGUUGUUGAUGGAAGAGCCUGUUUUUAUACAUGGUCUUGGCACAUUGUGCUACUCUAAAGGGCAGGCAGAGAAUCCAUAAAACUGUGGUGGUGCAAUCCUGUCAAAAUAAACAUGCAAAGUGUGAAGACACUAUGCAAAGCCCGAGCCUUGCCCCGUCUCCUCAGUCCAUAAUCCAGAGGCUCAGGAAUUGGAUGAACACUCAUUUUUUGCAUAUUAAUUGGUAAAUAAAAGGUUGAAAGUUUAAUAACGCAUUUAUCAUACUGAAUCAAAAUGCCCUAAAUUACUGUAAUAAUUAUUUUCUCCAAUGGAGAGUGGAAGAAUACAAGAAGAUCAGUGAAGAAAGCGUUUCUGCAUCUCCCCUGGGAGUUAGGGAGCAGCUCCCAGAGGAGCUACCUCUUGGAGUGAAGACUGAGUAGGAACUUGCCAGUCUUAUGGAGGUAACAGAGGUAGCGGAGAUGUCAAGGCUUUCAUGUGGGGUACUCCAGAUGGAGGAAAAACACCGAAAGGGCAGAAAGUUGUAAAAUGCAAUGAGCAUCUGAUAGUUUGUUUACUCAGCACUUCUCUCCCCUUCUUCGGAAAAAAGUCCCAUUUUCUUCUUCUGGAGGUGGUCUUUCACACUUAAUUAUAUGGUUGGAUAGGAGCCAGCAUUCGGCUCUCGCCUGUGGAAACAAGUGACUGGUCUGGGAGUAUGCGUGUGUCGGGACCCAUCAAAAUCUUCCCUGAGAUUUUUUAAGCUGCAGCCGGGAGAAAGAUUUCGGUCGGCUCCCAAGGUGCCGAGCUGCGUGGUGAGGUGCAGGAUUUGUCAAUGGCUCUGACCCUGUCGUGUGGAAAUACUCUUGACUGCAGGAGACAGAAGCCCAGUUCAAAUUAGCUUAGAUCACAGUGACAUUUAUUGUAAAAUUUACAUAAGCGUAGUCUCUCUCUGUCUCUCAUUUCUCUGUCUACCUUUACAAAAGCUCCUUCCAGAUGGUGGAACUCAGGAUCAGCAAUGACUUCCAUAUCUUACUUCUCAUUGGGGUUGUGGGGAGUGUGGGAGACAGAAAAAAAAAAUGAAAUAAAUAAGAAAGUCUUACAGACCGUUAGAACAGUGUUUCUCAAAUGUUGACGUACCUGUCAGUUGGCCGGAGAGCUCCUAUCCUGCAGACCUUAACGCUUUAGGUCUGGAAUGGUCCCUAAGAUUUGCAUUUCUAAUAAGCUGCCAAGUGAUGUUGAUGGUGCUGGUUUAAAGACCACACUUUGAAUAACACAAUGUUCAAAGAUAAUGUUUAAGAAUUGAGGAAAUAUGAAAAGCUGGUGCAGUAUAUGGUGGUUUGGGAAUGGGGUAGAAGUGAGCUAUAAUUUUCAGUAGGGUAAUUAGGAGAGGCCCAUGGAGGUGGCAUUUGAACAGACUUGAAAGAGUUAAU